RNAcentral lists this ribosomal RNA (487 nucleotides) under Arthrobacter citreus. RNAcentral describes it as "bacterial SSU rRNA". It matches the Rfam family "Bacterial small subunit ribosomal RNA", at positions 96 to 595 of the family's 1533-position model. The record is from RNAcentral. Lineage: Bacteria; Bacillati; Actinomycetota; Actinomycetes; Micrococcales; Micrococcaceae.
UGGCGAACGGGUGAGUAACACGUGAGUAACCUGCCCUUAACUUCGGGAUAAGCCUGGGAAACCGGGUCUAAUACCGGAUACGACGGACCACCGCAUGGCGGUCCGUGGAAAGCUUGAUGCGGUUUUGGAUGGACUCGCGGCCUAUCAGCUAGUUGGUUGGGGUAAUGGCCCACCAAGGCGACGACGGGUAGCCGGCCUGAGAGGGUGACCGGCCACACUGGGACUGAGACACGGCCCAGACUCCUACGGGAGGCAGCAGUGGGGAAUAUUGCACAAUGGGCGAAAGCCUGAUGCAGCGACGCCGCGUGAGGGACGAAGGCCUUCGGGUUGUAAACCUCUUUCAGCAGGGAAGAAGCGAAAGUGACGGUACCUGCAGAAGAAGCGCCGGCUAACUACGUGCCAGCAGCCGCGGUAAUACGUAGGGCGCAAGCGUUAUCCGGAAUUAUUGGGCGUAAAGAGCUCGUAGGCGGUUUGUCGCGUCUGCUGU